AGUGAACGCUGGCGGUAGGCCUAACACAUGCAAGUCGAACGGCAGCACAGGAGAGCUUGCUCUCUGGGUGGCGAGUGGCGGACGGGUGAGGAAUACAUCGGAAUCUACUCUGUCGUGGGGGAUAACGUAGGGAAACUUACGCUAAUACCGCAUACGACCUACGGGUGAAAGCAGGGGACCUUCGGGCCUUGCGCGAUUGAAUGAGCCGAUGUCGGAUUAGCUAGUUGGCGGGGCAAAGGCCCACCAAGGCGACGAUCCGUAGCUGGUCUGAGGGGGUGGUCAGCAACACGGGAACUGGGACACGGUCCAGACUCCUACGGGAGGCAGCAGUGGGGAAUAUUGGACAAUGGGCGCAAGCCUGAUCCAGCCAUACCGCGUGGGUGAAGAAGGCCUUCGGGUUGUAAAGCCCUUUUGUUGGGAAAGAAAUCCAGCUGGCUAAUACCCGGUUGGGAUGACGGUACCCAAAGAAUAAGCACCGGCUAACCUCGUGCCAGCCGCCGCAGUAA
Molecule: ribosomal RNA, 506 nt
Filed under: uncultured bacterium
Lineage: Bacteria
Description: partial 16S ribosomal RNA
Rfam family: Bacterial small subunit ribosomal RNA
Source: RNAcentral